GUAGGGGACAAGCGUUAUCCGGAUUUACUGGGCGUAAAGCGCAUGUAGGUGGCCUAGCAAGUUGGAUGUGAAAGCUCCUGGCUUAACUGGGAGAGGUCAUUCAAAACUGCGAGGCUUGAGGAUGGAAGAGGAGAGCGGAAUUCCCGGUGUAGUGGUGGAAUGCGUAGAUAUCGGGAGGAACACCAGUGGCGAAAGCGGCUCUCUGGUUCGUGCCUGACACUGAGAUGCGAAAGCGUGGGGAGCGAACGGGAUUAGAUACCCCGGUAGUCCACGCUGUAAACGAUGGAUACUAGGUGUAGGAGGUCAUUAACCCCUUCUGUGCCGAAGCCAACGCGUUAAGUAUCCCGCCUGGGGACUACGGCCGCAAGGUUAAA
RNAcentral lists this ribosomal RNA (374 nucleotides) under uncultured bacterium. Its description in RNAcentral is "bacterial SSU rRNA". It matches the Rfam family "Bacterial small subunit ribosomal RNA", at positions 527 to 898 of the family's 1533-position model. The record is from RNAcentral.